UCAAAUUCAUCUCCAUAGCUUACAAAAAGAAUGAGCUUACCAAUAUUCUGACUUCGGUCUAUAGUACAUUUAAAAUAGUUAUUAAAAGAACAUUUAGAAUAGUUAUUUUUAAACUACCAAAAUAAAAAAAAUAGAUGUGGUGUGUGACGUGAUUUAUGACUAACAAAAUAUCAUGCAAAAUUCAGAAGUACUUUUGCAUGCUCAAGGCGGCAUGAAAUGUUCAGCAAACAACUUACGGAAAGAACAAGAACUUGCUAAAUUACAAUAGUACUAACAAAAUAUGCAUAUAAUGGAUAUGGAUCUGCCCUGAUUACAGACAUAAGUGCAGCACAUCUCUUCCCUUGCAAUCACUACAAACAAAUGACACAAAUUAGGAUUCAGCUAUGGUACUGUACAAGAUCACCUGUGAACAUAAAUCACGAAUAUAGUUUACCACCUGUGAACUUGCUCUUGCGCGGCCAAUAUAGUGUGUUACCCACGCGUACGCGCACAGGUAUGUGAAGCUCGCCAUCCGACCAGUCGCAAAUCAGCCGGCCGUGCUGUCACCGAUGACCGAGCUCUGCUUCGACACAGCCACCGACGCCCGAGCUCUCCACACAGAAGUAUUUUGAUUGGGAAAAAGGGCAGCAUGUCCAUGUUGUUUCCUAUAUAACAAAAAUUAGCAUGAUCAAUGGCAGAUUGAAUUAGCUAAACAGACAGCUCCCAUCUUUCCGAAUCAACAAAGAUUGCAUGGCGGGGAACGAAGUGCUCAUGGAACCAGACUAAAUUCGCACCAUUAGACAUGGAUGCUCACCUAGGCCUAUGGAAAGUAGCCUCUACCGGCGGCGGCAGGGACAAGUCAGGGCUAUUUCGUCCCGACGAGAUAAAGCACAACCGCGGCUAGAUCGUCAUCUGCGCAUCUAGAGUAGCUAUUUUGCUGAUAAGAGAGCCCCUGUGAUCUAGGGUUGGACGCAAGAAGACAUGAACCUCUGUCGCGAUAUCUUUUUCUCCGUCAUCAUUCACCAGAGCUUGGCUGAAAGACUACAGUGCAGCGAUGAGGACAGAGGAAGCUUCUUUUGUGUCCAUUGUAUCAUCAUCUUCAGUUUCUGAUUCAUCCUAUGACAAAGAGGGAUUUCAGUGCGAGCAAGGAAUUGAAGUGUAUGUAUAGACAAAAAAACUGAGCCAGGCUACAUAUUCUGAUGAUACAACAUCAAGUUACUUAAGCUCUUACACGGGCAGUGAAUGUCAAGGUGAACCUAAGGAAAUAUCAUAGUCAGCAAAAAUAAGAUGGAAGAAGACAAUCAAAUUAAAAUCAUGUAACUAAAUACACAGAAGAAUUUUCUUAUAAAUAAAUCAGGCAACAAAUAUUUUGUCCGAUAUUGAAAGAGCUUUGUUUGAUUGACUCUUCUAUAUUAUACGAUGCUCUAAGGCAACAGAUAAGUGAGAGCCAAAAGAGUAUUAUUAAAAUUGCAUGCAUGCCUUAUAUAUACCAAGGGUCAUUCUUGAGAAAAUUUGUGGCUCAUGCCUCAUGACAUUUAGAAGAAAAUUUUGGAUAAUAUGUAGGUGCUAGCACUUUGCAUAAGGUACAAACCUUACAGGUUCACUCAAGCAAAUACCACAAACCAUAUAACCGCACAACAACGGUUCACAGAAUUACAAAAAAAUUGAGAGAGAGAAGCAGCAACCGCGCUAGGAGAGAUGGGACAGCCGCAGGUUGGAGUUUAGAGAAGAACUUAAGCAACGGGGUUGAGAAGAGCUUCAGAAGAAGUGCAGCAGCAGCGCUAGGAGAGAUGGAACAGCCAUAGGCAGCAAGGAGCAGAGAGGAGAGGCAGCAGUUUGUCGUAUUAUUAGGCUGGGUCAGUAUGUUAAUAAAUUUGUCACAUAUACACAGUUUGUCGAACCAAUUCCAAUAAUAAUCAAUAGACGCCAAACAGUGGAAGUGUCUCGAGGGCCAAACUAUUCUGGAAACUAUCAUAGCAGAAAUCACCAAAUUUGUUUCAGAGGUAGAGGGUAGAACAAUUAGAAAGUCAACAAAGAGCUAGAUGAAUCUGAUUGGAGAACAAAAGACAACAGAAUAUCUUGUGCAUAAUUUACCAAUUAUAUGUCCAAUUCGUACUGUCCAGUUAAAGGUCGAAGCUAGAAUCAUAGAUCUUACAACUGUACUUCAGAAAAGAACCAUCCAAUGUCAGAGUUUUAUCAUUGCUAAAUCUCCUGAUCUCAUAUCAUACAGUGAUAAUCCUCCUAGAUUAGGAUUAUACCAAAUUAGUGAAUGGAUAAAAUAACUACAAUUUGGAGCUUCAAGUAAAUCAAACAGUUAACUUAAUUCUCUAGUCGACGACUAUGUUGGUACCUGAAGAAUCAUUCUGCCCGUGCCGUUAGUUCAUCACCUUGGUCCCUUGUUAUUGGCGCAUCCGGUCCCAAAACUCCAACC
This 2410-nucleotide long non-coding RNA is filed under the name Triticum aestivum (bread wheat). Its description in RNAcentral is "long non-coding RNA (TAES_LNC022918)". Lineage: Eukaryota; Viridiplantae; Streptophyta; Magnoliopsida; Poales; Poaceae. The record is from RNAcentral.